AACGGCCAUACCAUGCUGAAUAUACCGGUUCUCGUUAGAUCAAAUCAAGCAUCAUUGGGCGCGGUCAGUACUUGGGUACCUGGGAACACCGCGUGCCGUU
RNAcentral lists this ribosomal RNA (100 nucleotides) under Caerostris darwini. Lineage: Eukaryota; Metazoa; Arthropoda; Arachnida; Araneae; Araneidae. The record is from RNAcentral.